CACCACAGCCUAUAACAGUCUAACACAGUGCAUCAUUGUAAGCUCUAUCACAGAACUGCAAACUAACUACACUAACCUGCAGUCUUUGACUGUCUAAAAUGAGUAUACUUCAAUUAGUUUGACAACACGUGUAGAUUUUAAAACUCUGAAACCAAUUUUAUUACAGCUUUAAAUUUCAUCUCUGAGAUGAAAUUCUCUCUGGGAAGUACACUAAGUUGCUCCAUUUAUUCUCCUCGUCUUUAGUGCGAGGAAGAUGCUGAAGUACCACGACCACAACUUUACAUCUGCACCAUGAACACAUCACAGGGAUGAGAAGGAAAAGGGGACGUGUUAAUGUGUAAAAGCUCUGUGGUGUGUUGUUAUUUUCUUACUACUGAGCAAGUGUCUCCAGGCCAUCACUGGAAGUAACACCAGGCUGAAGCAUAAGAAAAAUGAACUCAUUCCACAAUCAUUUAUUAUUUAUUAACUCAAGGUAGGCUACCAGAAAAUUGUUAAGACCCACUUUAACCCCUGGUUAUGUGCACAAAAUAAUGUGCCUGUGACAAUAAAUAAUGUAAAGAAAACAUAUUAUUAAAGGUCAGUACAACAAAAAAAGAGCGUACUUUUAAAAAGAACAGGGAGAGAUUAUGACAUUUUACAUUUAAGACUUACACCAACGAUCAGCUCAGUUGACUUUGUGAUCUUAACAACAGCCUCUGCAUUUAGGUGGUGAUUUUUAUCCCAUGUGACAAACACUGUAGUAAUCAGAAGAAGUUAAUGUCAUCAAUUCUGGCAAGUUUAUCUGUCAAAAACCUCCACAAAGAAAUCUUGGGCAUCCCCCAGAUUUUGGAUGCAUAGGUCACCCUGUAGCUGAUCAAUGCUUGUGACCACACUGCCUUCAACUUGUGAGGUCUUCAGUUGGUCAGCAAAAUAAGUGCGAUAGCUAAAACGCUCCCAAACAGACACGCACGCACAGGUUCACAGCCUAUCGAUGCUGCGAACACAAGUUUUUGCUGACAGAACUCGUCGAUGGGCCAUUACAGGAUAUCAGCAUAGAUAAACAAGCAGCAGUGGCGUAUCAGGCAACUAAUCCCCUCCCCUGUAUAAUGAGACUGUGUUUGUAUUGAAAUUUGUCCUUUUUUUCUUUUUUCCUUGAAAUGUUUUUAUGUUUCCCUGUGAAGCUUUUUCUGUCCUCAAUUGUUGCCUUAGUGCUGACUGCCAAGCAGAAUCCAUCACGCAGGAACACAAGCCUCCACAACACACUGAUGCUCUCUUUCAAAGUCUUAAUGUACAGCAAAACGAAUUUGGUCCUGUUUUGUCCUUGAGCACGUCAAACCACUUUACAAAAGCAAGCGUUUGUCAUCAGUAUAGAGCGUUCCUUAUCAGCAGGUCUGCGGAAAACUUGUGUGUGUUUUCCGCUCGUUGUCAACAAAUCUGCAGGCAUCCUCAAUAUUUAUGAACAUGCAUCGCUCCAUUUUUUUGUGCUCCAUUUUUCUCCAGUGUAUCUGUCUGUAUAAACAUAUGUAAAUCUAUAAUUGAGUAUAUAACAGUGUUUGAAAAAGAUUCUGCUUUAUUUUAGGGCAUUAAGUUAGUUCUAUAUUUAAAAAAGACAAAAGAAAGAAAGCUCUGUGGUCUGUUGAGUGUUAUUGUGAUAAGAUAUAUGGUGAGGUUAUCCAUGCCUCAUCCUUUGUGUUGCUCUCGAGGUAAGGAGAAGUUUUUAUUUUGGGGAUAACAAUAUUAAAUAUUAAAAUAUGCAUACAUAUAUAUGGCUACGGAAAAUGUGACCAAAUUAUCAAAGUAUAUAUGCACAUAUAUACUUUAUGCUGUACAUCUGUGUAGAUGUAGAAAUGUGUGAUGUUCCUCUGUGAAAUGAAGCAAAUUAAGAUUAAAGAAAAAACAAUUGUGUACAAAUGUAUGUUUCUGAUGUGGUUUUAACCAAUAAAAAUAAAGAAAAUACUGAACAAAAAUGCAAGAUGAGA
Long non-coding RNA from Astatotilapia calliptera (eastern happy), 1958 nucleotides. The record is from Ensembl. NCBI's taxonomy places the organism in Eukaryota, Metazoa, Chordata, Actinopteri, Cichliformes, Cichlidae.